CCUACGGGUGGCAGCAGUAGGGAAUCUUCCACAAUGGACGAAAGUCUGAUGGAGCAACGCCGCGUGAGUGAAGAAGGUUUUCGGCUCGUAAAGCUCUGUUUGUAGGGAAGAAAGAUAUAGGUAGUAACUGGCCUUUAGUUGACGGUAAUUACUUAGAAAGGCACGGUUAACUACGUGCCAGCAGCCGCGGUAAUACGGAGGUGGCAAGCGGUGUUCGGAUUUAUUGGGCGUAAAGCGAGUGCAGGCGGUUAGAUAAUUCUGAUGUGAAAGCCUUAGGCUCAACCGGAGAAUUGCAUCAGAAACUGUUGAACUUGAGUGCAGAAGAGGAGAGUGGAAUUCCAUGUGUAGCGGUGGAAUGCGUAGAUAUAGGGAAGAACACCAGUGGCGAAGGCAGCUCUCUGGUCUGACACUGACGCUGAGGCUCGAAAGCAUGGGUAGCGAACAGGAUUAGAUACCCGGGUAGUC
This 465-nucleotide ribosomal RNA is filed under the name uncultured bacterium. Its description in RNAcentral is "partial 16S ribosomal RNA". It matches the Rfam family "Bacterial small subunit ribosomal RNA", at positions 338 to 795 of the family's 1533-position model. The record is from RNAcentral.